AGAGAGGGGGCUUCUCACAGCUGAAGGAAAAGACAUUAAAAAUAAAGAAGAAAUCUUAAAUCUUCUGGCUGCCCUUUGGGAACCCAAAAAGCUGGCUAUCGUCCACUGUCCGGGACAUCAAAAAGCCACUAACCCAGUCACUCGAGGAAACAACCUGGCCGACCAGACUGCGAAAGACGUGGCUAAAACCACUCCUCAGCUGCUGGCCCUCCAGCUGCCUGAUCCCGGGCCCAGAGAAUUGCCCUUUCACCCAGAAGACUCAGAAUAGGACCUCCAGUGGAUAAGUAAACUCCCUGGAACACAGAUACAUUCUCAGGAUGGGCAGAAGCUUUUCCGCCAAAAAAAGAAACUGCACAGAUUGUGGCCAAAAAGAUCCUAGAAGAGAUCCUGCCCAGGUAUGGCUUUCCAGUCAUGAUAGGGUCGGAUAACGGGCCGGCCUUCACCGCAAAGCCCUACAGAGAGUUCAUGAGGAAGUCUGGCCCAAGCUAAA
This is a long non-coding RNA of Rhinopithecus roxellana (golden snub-nosed monkey), 490 nucleotides long. RefSeq lists it as uncharacterized. The record is from RefSeq and is a predicted model, not a curated record. NCBI's taxonomy places the organism in Eukaryota, Metazoa, Chordata, Mammalia, Primates, Cercopithecidae. The transcript has 3 exons.